UACUUAUAAAUCUUAAGUAACUUGUAACAAUGUAGAGAUAGAGAGAAAGCGAGAGAGAAUUAAUACCAUAUUUUAUAUAUAACUUUCAUACGUCAUCACCAGUCACAACACUAAACGCCUUCAGGCAACAGGUGAGACAACAGGCAGGUUCAUGUGAUAGAUAAAGACCUGGACGGAACAAUAUCACCUGGGUGACGUCACUGGUGACGCGCCACUUCACUGAGUCAGGGUCGCCACACAGCGCAAUCCUCCCACCCGCCACCACCAGCCUUCCAUUCUUACACCAUCUAACGAAACUAGUUUGUGGCAGCGACGUACUCGAUCACAUAUAAGGCGGCUCCCACUACUGACCAGACACAGUACAACUCCGACACCAGAUCAGUGAUGGCUGUGUCGCAGAGCUGUGUGGUGGUGAGGCGUGAGGGAGGCUCCCUUGACGGGUCCUGCCCCUGGUGACUGCAACCUACGCCUCACCAGGGGCAGGACACAUUGCUCCUCUACUCAGACUGAUCUGCCCAGGCGACACAUGGCGAGGACCUCCUGUACUGUUGCUGCUGGUGACUCAAACUGACUCACCUCACGACGCACACAACGGCGUGAGGUGUUCCAACUACCACUAUGAUGUGACCACAGAGGCUACUACACCUGUAGUACAGCACCAACACCCGUGGUACACCACCUCCACCCGUGGUACAGCACCUCCACCCGUGGUACAACACCACCACCUGUGGUACAACACCUCUACCCGCCACAGUCCACACGGGUGGUGCAGGAGUCAUGGGUGUUGUAGGUCCUGCGGCAGGUCUCCAACACCCCUGAAACACAGCAGGACUCCACCUCCUGCUCGACUCAGCGGCUCCAGGCAGCCUCCAUCAGGAGGUCCUGACGACUCAGGACUUGUCAACGAACCAUUUCCCUCACCUCACCUUGUGUUGUUGACACUGCAGUAUUGUAUUACAGCAAUAUGUAAAACUAAUCAUUUAUUGUCUAUCAUUCCCACAAUUCAUCAGAAUGUUGUAAUAUCACAUCAUCACUUGUCAAGGGUGUUCAUACAUUACCAUAAAAGUAAACAAAGUUUUUAUCAUAUUUACAUUUACCACCCCCCCCCCUUGGCUGUGAUCUAAUGGUUGUUAUUUCUGACUUUUUAUUUCUAUUCAAUUCAAAUUUCAAUAAAAAAUAAUAUUCAAGGA
Molecule: long non-coding RNA, 1190 nt
Organism: Homarus americanus (American lobster)
Lineage: Eukaryota; Metazoa; Arthropoda; Malacostraca; Decapoda; Nephropidae
Exons: 2
Source: RefSeq, a predicted model, not a curated record